RNAcentral lists this transfer RNA (72 nucleotides) under Dactylellina haptotyla CBS 200.50. RNAcentral describes it as "tRNA-Pro (AGG) (tRNA-Pro-AGG-1-1, tRNA-Pro-AGG-1-2)". It matches the Rfam family "tRNA". Rfam says of the family: Transfer RNA (tRNA) molecules are approximately 80 nucleotides in length. Their secondary structure includes four short double-helical elements and three loops (D, anti-codon, and T loops). Further hydrogen bonds mediate the characteristic L-shaped molecular structure. tRNAs have two regions of fundamental functional importance: the anti-codon, which is responsible for specific mRNA codon recognition, and the 3' end, to which the tRNAs corresponding amino acid is attached (by aminoacyl-tRNA synthetases). tRNAs cope with the degeneracy of the genetic code in two manners: having more than one tRNA (with a specific anti-codon) for a particular amino acid; and 'wobble' base-pairing, i.e. permitting non-standard base-pairing at the 3rd anti-codon position. The record is from RNAcentral. Lineage: Eukaryota; Fungi; Ascomycota; Orbiliomycetes; Orbiliales; Orbiliaceae.
GCGACUGUGGUUUAGUGGUAUAAUUCUCGCUUAGGGUGCGAGAGGUCCCAGGUUCGAUCCCUGGCAGUCGCC